This 115-nucleotide ribosomal RNA is filed under the name uncultured bacterium. Its description in RNAcentral is "partial 16S ribosomal RNA". It matches the Rfam family "Bacterial small subunit ribosomal RNA", at positions 1369 to 1482 of the family's 1533-position model. The record is from RNAcentral.
CGUUCCCGGGUCUUGUACACACCGCCCGUCACACCAUGGGAGCGGGUUUUACCAGAAGUAGGUAGCUUAACCGCAAGGAGGGCGCUUACCACGGUACGGAUUCGUGACUGGGGUG